CGGGCAGCAGCUCAGAGGAUAGAGCCUUCGCCUGAUAUGCGAAAAGACUCGGGUUUGACUCUCGGCAGCUUCG
Molecule: transfer RNA, 73 nt
Filed under: Toxocara canis (dog roundworm)
Lineage: Eukaryota; Metazoa; Nematoda; Chromadorea; Rhabditida; Toxocaridae
Rfam family: tRNA
About the family: Transfer RNA (tRNA) molecules are approximately 80 nucleotides in length.
Source: Rfam by way of RNAcentral